GACGAACGCUGGCGGCGUGCUUAACACAUGCAAGUCGAACGGAAAGGCCCUGCUUUUGUGGGGUGCUCGAGUGGCGAACGGGUGAGUAACACGUGAGUAACCUGCCCUUGACUUUGGGAUAACUUCAGGAAACUGGGGCUAAUACCGGAUAGGAGCUCCUGCUGCAUGGUGGGGGUUGGAAAGUCUCGGCGGUUGGGGAUGGACUCGCGGCUUAUCAGCUUGUUGGUGGGGUAGUGGCUUACCAAGGCUUUGACGGGUAGCCGGCCUGAGAGGGUGACCGGCCACAUUGGGACUGAGAUACGGCCCAGACUCCUACGGGAGGCAGCAGUGGGGAAUAUUGCACAAUGGGCGGAAGCCUGAUGCAGCAACGCCGCGUACGGGAUGACGGCCUUCGGGUUGUAAACCGCUUUCGCCUGUGACGAAGCGUGAGUGACGGUAAUGGGUAAAGAAGCACCGGCUAACUACGUG
RNAcentral lists this ribosomal RNA (468 nucleotides) under uncultured bacterium. RNAcentral's name for it is "partial 16S ribosomal RNA". It matches the Rfam family "Bacterial small subunit ribosomal RNA", at positions 28 to 507 of the family's 1533-position model. The record is from RNAcentral.